GGAGUUGGCCAGGCAGCCGCUGCGCGGUUCGCCGCGUGGAGGAAAGUCCGGGCUCCACAGGGCAGAGUGCCAGGUAACGCCUGGGCGCUAUAAGUCGAAAGACCCAAGGCGACGGAAAGUGCAACAGAAAAGAUACCGCCGAUGGCCCGGACUUUGACGCUGCAAAGCGGCAAAGUCCCCUUGUAGGGGGAGACCCCCGCCAGGAGACGGAUCAGGCAAGGUUGAAAUGGCGCGAAGACUCGCAAGAGGAUUCGGGCCUGCCGGUAAGUGGGCCCGAACAUCCGCGAGGGUGUUCGGGCUUGCCGCAAGGCAGGUCAGGUAAGAGCUCACCGCGGACGUGGCAACACGGACGGCAAGGUAAACCCCACUCGGAGCAAGGCCAAAUAGGCAGGCACGUCUUCGGACAUCGGCGGCCCGCCGAAGCCUGCGGGUAGGCUGCUUGAGGCGAUGGGCGACCAUCGUCCCAGAUGAAUGGCUGCCCACGACAGAACCCGGCUUAUCGGCCAACUCCACCU
Molecule: RNase P RNA, 515 nt
Filed under: Hydrogenophilales bacterium 28-61-23
Lineage: Bacteria; Pseudomonadati; Pseudomonadota; Hydrogenophilia; Hydrogenophilales
Description: RNase P RNA component class A
Rfam family: Bacterial RNase P class A
About the family: Ribonuclease P (RNase P) is a ubiquitous endoribonuclease, found in archaea, bacteria and eukarya as well as chloroplasts and mitochondria. Its best characterised activity is the generation of mature 5'-ends of tRNAs by cleaving the 5'-leader elements of precursor-tRNAs.
Source: RNAcentral